Molecule: transfer RNA, 68 nt
Filed under: Valvata piscinalis
Lineage: Eukaryota; Metazoa; Mollusca; Gastropoda; Valvatidae
Description: tRNA-Asp
Source: RNAcentral
AGUAACUUAGUUAAAUUAUAACAUUAACUUGUCAAGUUAAAAUUACAUUAAAAUCUAUGUAAUUACUA